This 519-nucleotide long non-coding RNA is filed under the name Cavia porcellus (domestic guinea pig). RNAcentral describes it as "lncRNA (ENSCPOG00000030170.1)". Lineage: Eukaryota; Metazoa; Chordata; Mammalia; Rodentia; Caviidae. The record is from RNAcentral.
CCAGGAUACAUCAAAAUUUUCCACCCUCCUGCGUCAGCAUCUCAAAGUGCUGGCAUUACAGACAUGUGCCCUGUCCAAUGUGACAGUAUUCUAAGAAAAUCAAAGGGUACCACCCUCCCCCAGUGCGGGUACAGACUCAAGCGCAGACAGACUUCAGGCCCUGGUUUUGCCCUUCCGCAGGGCAAAUGGGGGAUUCAAGGUCGAAGCGUCGUAGACACAGAAAAAGAAAUAAAAGAUCAAAGAACAAGAAACAAAAUUCGAUCAAUGCGGAAACCAGGAGUAUGAGCCCUCAGACGACGCGUCGAUUUCAGGAGCUCUUCGAACACACGCACCAUCAAAUUGAUACCCAUCCCCACCUCUAUCCCCAAAACUAUGAACCCUCCCCACAAGAUCUUCUGUUUUUUCUCCAACUGCUUUACCUGCACUAAGUGGUAAACAUCACCGCUAUCACUUUUGUCUGGAGCCUCUGCUUCUACCAUCAUCUUUCUUAGAGGUCCCUCUUUUUAGGCUCGCCCCCUG